AAGCCAUGCAUGUCUAAGUAUAAGCAAUUAUACCGCGAAACUGCGAAUGGCUCAUUAUAUAAGUUAUCGUUUAUUUGAUAGCACAUUACUACAUGGAUAACUGUGGUAAUUCUAGAGCUAAUACAUGCUAAAAAUCCCGACUUCGGAAGGGAUGUAUUUAUUAGAUUAAAAGCCAACGUCCUUCAGGGCUUCCUGGUGAUUCAUAAUAACUUUUCGAAUCGCAUGGCCUUGCGCCGGCGAUGGUUCAUUCAAAUUUCUUCCUUAUCAACUUUCGAUGCGAAGGGAUUGUCUUCGCAUGGUUGCAACUGGUAACGGAGGGUGAGGGCUUGACCCCGGAGAAAGAGCGUGAGAAAAGUGUACGACAGCCCAGGAAGGCAGCAGGCGCGCGAAAUACUCCAUCACUACAAGGGGUGGCUGUGAUGACUAACACG
This 431-nucleotide ribosomal RNA is filed under the name Lomentospora prolificans. RNAcentral's name for it is "SSU rRNA". It matches the Rfam family "Eukaryotic small subunit ribosomal RNA", at positions 46 to 473 of the family's 1831-position model. The record is from RNAcentral. Lineage: Eukaryota; Fungi; Ascomycota; Sordariomycetes; Microascales; Microascaceae.